UUUCCGGGAAGUUAAACACCUGCUAGACUUUGAGCGGAAGCUGAGGGAGACUGGCAACGCUUGAGGCUGAAUCCUGCCGUCUCUUUCACCUGCUGCUCGUGAGCAGUUAGCAAUCAAAUUCGUGAAAAGAGCGAAUCCAGAAAUAGAGAAGACAUGAAAGAGGAUGAAGAAAUGAAAAUACAUCUAAAGCAUUCAGAAAUCACCAGGAUACAGGCUGAAUCAUACUUCAGGCCCAGGGAAGUGGAAGUCAUGUCAAUCUUGGACCAGUCAAAAGAAUCAACCUGAAAGCAACUUUACUAUGAUCAUAUGACUGAUGGAAGAUGGUUUAUGAACCCCGAAAAAAAUCCAGAACCUUGUAUAGACUGUAAACUUUGGGAGGACUAUAUGGGCUGGAGUGCCCUGUGAUACACUGCAGACCACUAGGAGUACAAUGUUCUUGUUCCCCAACCUCCGUUAUUAGACUAGACAGGAGGCCUAAUGCCUAAUAGGCCUACGUGCUUUUGCAGAAAUCAUAUCCCCCACUUAAAGACACUAUUGGGCCUAAUUAAUUUACAUCACUUGGGAAAAGGUCAUUUUUGGUUAGGAGCUUGAACAACACAAGCCUUCUUGAAACUGCAGAGUCUGUAACUCAAACUAACCUGUGUGGACCGCAAUGGACUGAAUUGUGUUGGAGCUUUAAAUUCAUAUGUUGGAGCGCCAAUGCCCAAGCUGAUGGUAUUUUGAGGUGGGUGUUUGUGAGGCAGUUAGGUUUAAAUGAGAUCACAGCGGGCGCAUGAUGGAGUUAGUGUCCUUAUAAGAUCAGGAAGAGACCAGAACUCGUGCUCUCUCUCUCUCCACCACGGGAGGAUUCAAAGAGAAGACAGCCACCUGCAAGCCAGGAGGAGGGCCAAUACCAAAGCUCAACCACGCUGCUCUCCAAUGUUGGGUUUCCAGCCUCCAGAAUUGUAAACCUCUGUUGUUUAAGCCACCCAGUUGGUGGUAUUUUGUUACAGCAGCCGGAAGUGACUGAGGCAGCUGGUUUCACGGGUUCUCAUCUGGAGAGGAAUUUACCUCAAGAUGAAUCAUACCUCACAACUCACCAUGUCUAAUUUAGAUGAGACUUCGGACUUAUUUAGAGUUGAUGCUGGAAGGAGUUAGGAUUUGGGGGGCUGUUGGGAUGGGUGAAUGUAUUUUGCAUGCAAGAAGGACAUGAAUUUGGGGGAUCCAGAGGCAUAAUGUUAAAUAGACUGAAUGUUUGUGCCCCCCCUGCCAAUUCAUAUGUUGAAGCCCUAAUUCCUAACGUGAUGGUAUUUGGACAUGGGGUCUUUGGGAGAUAAUUAGGCUUAGAUGAGGUCAUGGGGUGGGUGGGGCCCCCAUGUUGGGAUUAGUGUUCUUAUAGGAAGAGGAAGAGACAGCAUAGCUCUCCUUCCCCCAUAUGAGGAAGCCGCUAGCCUGCCAGGAAGAGAGCUUUCAUCAGAAACUGACCAUGCUGGCACGGUCAUCUCAGACUUCCCAGCCUCAAGACCUGUGAAAUAAAUGUCUGUUGUUUAACACACCCAGUCUAUGAUUUUUUGUUAAAAGCAGCCUGUGCUGACUAAUACAGACACCAAUGCAGAAAUGAUAUUCAAAGUGUCAACCACCCUGCCUUCAUGCAGACUCAAGUCUUCUUGGCAAAAGCCCAUAAUCGUGGUCAGCUAGAAAAUUAUCUUAUACUGCUCAGAUACACUGUGGUGUAUUUCUUUUAAAGAUAGUUACUAGCUAGUUAUUGGGCGUUUGCUAUGACAGCCCCAUUAACUGAAGAACAUAAAAUUACAUCAACUGCUGAAUUACCUCCAUGUCAUGAGUAGUAUCAAAAAAGCAUCCCAACAAGAAGGGAAAUGUUGAAUUCCUUCAUAAAAUGGAAGCGGUGUUACAGCCGUGAUACAUAGUGGGACUCAGCCUACCCAUAACUUAUUCACGAGCAAGUAGCCUGUUUUCCACUAGGAGCUCCGAAAAGGCCAUCUGAAGACUUGUCUGCUGCUCUUACUUAUGGGCCUCAUCAUUCCAGCAAUUUCCCAAGGAUAUGAGGGACUUGGCCCGAUUCACAGGUGGCAGUUCCAGAAUGGAGAGCCGUGGCUCCGUG
Molecule: non-coding RNA, 2101 nt
Organism: Kogia breviceps (pygmy sperm whale)
Lineage: Eukaryota; Metazoa; Chordata; Mammalia; Artiodactyla; Physeteridae
Source: RefSeq, a predicted model, not a curated record